This 229-nucleotide ribosomal RNA is filed under the name uncultured bacterium. Its description in RNAcentral is "partial 16S ribosomal RNA". It matches the Rfam family "Bacterial small subunit ribosomal RNA", at positions 568 to 796 of the family's 1533-position model. The record is from RNAcentral.
UACGUAGGCGGGCAGCUAAGUCAGUGGUGAAAGUCUGCAGCUCAACUGUAGAAUUGCCAUUGAUACUGGUUGUCUUGAAUUAUUAUGAAGUGGUUAGAAUAUGUAGUGUAGCGGUGAAAUGCAUAGAUAUUACAUAGAAUACCAAUUGCGAAGGCAGAUCACUAAUAAUAUAUUGACGCUGAUGGACGAAAGCGUGGGGAGCGAACAGGAUUAGAUACCCUGGUAGUCC